CCUAUAUUGGGGGAUAACAGUCAGAAAUGACUGCUAAUACCGCAUAAGUCGAGAAACUUUGGAUAGUUCUUUAGAAAGAUGGCCUCUGCUUGCAAGCUAUCGAUAUAGGAAGGGCCUGCGGACCAUUAGCUUGUUAGUAGGGUAAUGGCCUACUAAGGCGAUGAUGGUUAGCCGGUCUGAGAGGAUGAUCGGCCACACUGGAACUGAGACACGGUCCAG
Molecule: ribosomal RNA, 219 nt
Filed under: uncultured bacterium
Lineage: Bacteria
Description: partial 16S ribosomal RNA
Rfam family: Bacterial small subunit ribosomal RNA
Source: RNAcentral